UACGUAGGGGGCUAGCGUUGUCCGGAUUUAUUGGGCGUAAAGAGCGUGUAGGCGGCCAGGUAGGUCUGGUGUGAAAACUCGAGGCUUAACCUCGAGAUGUCAUCGGAAACCAUCUGGCUAGAGUCCGGAAGAGGAGAGUGGAAUUCCUGGUGUAGCGGUGAAAUGCGCAGAUAUCAGGAAGAACACCCGUGGCUAAGGCGGCUCUCUGGGACGGUACUGACGCUGAGACGCGAAAGCGUGGGGAGCGAACAGG
This 253-nucleotide ribosomal RNA is filed under the name uncultured bacterium. RNAcentral's name for it is "partial 16S ribosomal RNA". It matches the Rfam family "Bacterial small subunit ribosomal RNA", at positions 524 to 776 of the family's 1533-position model. The record is from RNAcentral.